GAGGUCCAGCCUGCCCAGUGACCGCAAGUUUAACGGCCGCGGUAUUUUGACCGUGCAAAGGUAGCGCAAUCACUUGUCUUUUAAAUAAAGACCUGUAUGAAUGGCUAAACGAGGGCUUAACUGUCUCCCAUUUCAAGUCAGUGAAAUUGAUCUACCCGUGCAGAAGCGGGUAUAAUUAUACAAGACGAGAAGACCCUUUGGAGCUUAAGGCGUAAAACUCAACCACGUCAAGCGACUCAAUAAAAAGCAAUUUUUCUAAACCUUGUGGUAAAUGAGACCACUGCCUUCGGUUGGGGCGACCAUGGAGGAAAAAUAAGCCUCCAAGUGGAAUGGGAAAAUCCCCUAAAACCAAGAGAGACAUCUCUAAGCUACAGAACAUCUGACCAUAAAUGAUCCGGCUAACCAAGACCGAUCAACGAACCAAGUUACCCUAGGGAUAACAGCGCAAUCCUCUCCCAGAGUCCAUAUCGACGAGGGGGUUUACGACCUCGAUGUUGGAUCAGGACAUCCUAAUGGUGCAGCCGCUAUUAAGGG
Molecule: ribosomal RNA, 534 nt
Filed under: Systomus timbiri
Lineage: Eukaryota; Metazoa; Chordata; Actinopteri; Cypriniformes; Cyprinidae
Description: partial 16S ribosomal RNA
Rfam family: Bacterial large subunit ribosomal RNA
Source: RNAcentral